UCUGGCUCAGGAUGAACGCUGGCGGCGUGCUUAACACAUGCAAGUCGAACGAUGAUCCCAGCUUGCUGGGGGAUUAGUGGCGAACGGGUGAGUAACACGUGAGUAACCUGCCCUUAACUCUGGGAUAAGCCUGGGAAACUGGGUCUAAUACCGGAUAUGACUCCUCAUCGCAUGGUGGGGGGUGGAAAGCUUUUUGUGGUUUUGGAUGGACUCGCGGCCUAUCAGCUUGUUGGUGAGGUAAUGGCUUACCAAGGCGACGACGGGUAGCCGGCCUGAGAGGGUGACCGGCCACACUGGGACUGAGACACGGCCCAGACUCCUACGGGAGGCAGCAGUGGGGAAUAUUGCACAAUGGGCGGAAGCCUGAUGCAGCGACGCCGCGUGAGGGAUGACGGCCUUCGGGUUGUAAACCUCUUUCAGUAGGGAAGAAGCGGAAGUGACGGUACCUGCAGAAGAAGCGCCGGCUAACUACGUGCCAGCAGCCG
This 485-nucleotide ribosomal RNA is filed under the name Arthrobacter sp. MP6. RNAcentral's name for it is "bacterial SSU rRNA". It matches the Rfam family "Bacterial small subunit ribosomal RNA", at positions 18 to 517 of the family's 1533-position model. The record is from RNAcentral. Lineage: Bacteria; Bacillati; Actinomycetota; Actinomycetes; Micrococcales; Micrococcaceae.